AUGUUGGAUCUUUUGCAAUGCCUCGGCUUUCCUCAAAGAUGGCGGGCCCUCCUGACGAGUCUCUUCACCACGGCCUCCUCUAGGGUCUUCCUCAACGGAAUCCCUGGGAGGGACAUCCUGCAUGGACGCGAUUUUCGUUAGGGCGAUCCCAUCUCGCCCCUCCUGUUCGACAUCACCAUUGACCCACUUCAGAGACUUCUGGAAAAGGCUACAGAAUCCGGCCUGCUGUCUGCUAUGCCUGGAGGUAUUCAGGGCCCAGGGUCUCCCUAUAUGCGGACGACGCUACCAUUUUUCUAUCCCCCACGACACAUGAUGUGGAAGGCCUUGCUAGCAUUCUACAGAGUUUUGGGGUAG
This 354-nucleotide ribosomal RNA is filed under the name Triticum aestivum (bread wheat). Its description in RNAcentral is "partial small subunit ribosomal RNA". The record is from RNAcentral. Lineage: Eukaryota; Viridiplantae; Streptophyta; Magnoliopsida; Poales; Poaceae.